UCCACACCGAUACAUGUAGCACUAGUGCGUACCCUGGCGUAUGGCUGUGGCUGCUAAUCACAUUCGGAUUUAUUUUGAGAGAAGGUAGACGUUAAAAAUAUCUUCUGAUAUCCUUCAAAAGCACAUGCAGGUUCAACAUCCUUUGUAUCAUAUGUUCCUUUUCUGUGUAUACAUAAGUAGAGAAGACUUAGAAAAUAUGUCCAGUUUUUAGGGAGCUGCAUCCAGUUCCCACUUGUCCCCAUCUCAUAAAGGAGCCGAGGAUGGAUCAUAUAUGCAAUGUAGCCAGAAGAAUUUUAGGAGUACAAUGGUAGCGUAAGCUGGCAUGGUCUUGGAGUAGUGCCUAAAACCAUACACUUCACUGGGCAAUCAUACAGCAUAAGCCAAUCUGGGAAAUAUCAGGGCAGUGCUCAAGACUGGAAUUCUGACAUUCCAGCUGCAUCCCCUGUAAGUGUUAAAGAAACAAAUAACAAAGAAACACUGAGCAGGCAAUCCCUUCUCCAGGAGCGUAGGCUUCAGGCAUAAUUGUGAAUUAAUAACAAUUGGUAUGAGGCUAGCUACUUUUCUGAGUAACUUUGGAAGGAAAGGGAUCUGGAGUCUUCAGAGUAGGUAGCAUAUUAGUGCACAGGGAGGAGAAGGAGGGAGAGAGUAUUCCGUGAAGCAGAAAGAAAGUAUCUGUAUUGAAUCAAGGGUUUUGAUGUCCUAGUACUACACAUUUAAUUCCCAGGUGCACCUGUAUGGUGUUUUGCAAGAGUCCCCUGAGGAUCAAGACAGAGAUGAAGUGAUUGUUCUGCACAAAGCGUUUCCUUGCCAGCAGCUGGAUGCUUUGUCCUUUACACAUUGCUGCAGGAUUUCAGUCUGGCUCAUAGUGGCCACUUGCUUUCACCUUCACAGUCUCUGAGACAUUUCUGAAGAGCUUUCUGAAAUGUGGUGCGACAAGUCCUGAUGCAACAAGCAAAAGAAUUACGGGCAAUGGGGAGUAUGACUUCUCACAAGCACAACAGAGAAAAGGCAAGAGGAAGAACUUAUAAGGAAAAUUCUGAGUGGGUUUAAGGAAGAAAUUAUUCACCAUAAAAGCACUUAAUCACUGGAACAAGUAUCUCGGGAAAGUUCUGGAAUCAGCAACCUUGGAGAUAUUCAGAACUCCGGUGUACAAGACCCUGACAACCUGAGCUGGCCUUGAAGACAGUUUUGCUUGGAACGAUGCUUGAAAAAGAAAACCUUGGAAUUCUGGUUUAUUUCUAUUAUCCUAUAAUCUCAAUUACACCACUGAGUGCAUGGCCAGUGCAGAAAAAGGAUUGUUAGGUGAAUGCAAGAAACAUGUUGAAAUUGCAGAGGUGUCCUUGAUUGUUUUUCCAAGUCUGUCACAUGGUUACUACUUUUUGCUGCAGAGCUGCCAGUCUCUUAGGUGAGCAAAGCCAGCAGCCUCCUCAUCAGAAUCUGUGCCAUCACUGAAAAAUUCAUCCCAGUCAGCAACGCUUCCUUGUUAAUGAACAGCGACUGUGCAUCACCCUUGUAUGGACCACCGAGUCCUUCAAUCAAGAAGUUAUCUUCGACAAAUACCAAAAAUCUUCUUCACUGCUUGCAUCUCACCAUGAUGCUCUUCCAACUAAGAUCUGCAGUUCAUAGAAUUACUAGAGCUUAAGGAAUCAUUCUCUGCAAAGCUGCUUUCCAGCCUGUCAUGGUUUUGUGAUUUUCGGUUAUUGGUAUUCCACAUCAUAACAU
Molecule: long non-coding RNA, 1722 nt
Organism: Numida meleagris (helmeted guineafowl)
Lineage: Eukaryota; Metazoa; Chordata; Aves; Galliformes; Numididae
Exons: 4
Source: RefSeq, a predicted model, not a curated record